AUGAACGCUAGCGACAGGCCUAACACAUGCAAGUCGAGGGGCAUCGGGGUGUAGCAAUACGCUGCCGGCGACCGGCGGAUGGGUGAGUAACGCGUAUGCAACCUGCCUUCAGCAGGGGGAUAGCCCGUUGAAAGACGGAUUAAUACCCCGUAACACAGGGGCUCCGCAUGGAGAUUAUUGUUAAAGGGAUGCUUCCUUCGGGGAGUAUUCCGGCUGAAGAUGGGCAUGCGUUCCAUUAGGUAGUUGGUUGAGGUAACGGCUCACCAAGCCUGCGAUGGAUAGGGGAACUGAGAGGUUGGUCCCCCACACUGGUACUGAGACACGGACCAGACUCCUACGGGAGGCAGCAGUGAGGAAUCUUGGUCAAUGGACGGAAGUCUGAACCAGCCAUGUCGCGUGAAGGAGGACGGCCCUAAGGGUUGUAAACUUCUUUUGCAGGGGAAUAAAGUAUUCCACGAGAUGGGAUAUUGCAAGUACGCUGCGAAUAAGGAUCGGCUAACUCCGUG
This 506-nucleotide ribosomal RNA is filed under the name uncultured bacterium. Its description in RNAcentral is "bacterial SSU rRNA". It matches the Rfam family "Bacterial small subunit ribosomal RNA", at positions 29 to 507 of the family's 1533-position model. The record is from RNAcentral.